RNAcentral lists this ribosomal RNA (1372 nucleotides) under uncultured bacterium. Its description in RNAcentral is "bacterial SSU rRNA". It matches the Rfam family "Bacterial small subunit ribosomal RNA", at positions 28 to 1381 of the family's 1533-position model. The record is from RNAcentral.
GAUGAACGCUGGCGGCGUGCCUAAUACAUGCAAGUCGAGCGAACGGACGAGAAGCUUGCUUCUCUGAUGUUAGCGGCGGACGGGUGAGUAACACGUGGAUAACCUACCUAUAAGACUGGGAUAACUUCGGGAAACCGGAGCUAAUACCGGAUAAUAUUUUGAACCGCAUGGUUCAAAAGUGAAAGACGGUCUUGCUGUCACUUAUAGAUGGAUCCGCGCUGCAUUAGCUAGUUGGUAAGGUAACGGCUUACCAAGGCAACGAUGCAUAGCCGACCUGAGAGGGUGAUCGGCCACACUGGAACUGAGACACGGUCCAGACUCCUGCGGGAGGCAGCAGUAGGGAAUCUUCCGCAAUGGGCGAAAGCCUGACGGAGCAACGCCGCGUGAGUGAUGAAGGUCUUCGGAUCGUAAAACUCUGUUAUUAGGGAAGAACAUAUGUGUAAGUAACUGUGCACAUCUUGACGGUACCUAAUCAGAAAGCCACGGCUAACUACGUGCCAGCAGCCGCGGUAAUACGUAGGUGGCAAGCGUUAUCCGGAAUUAUUGGGCGUAAAGCGCGCGUAGGCGGUUUUUUAAGUCUGAUGUGAAAGCCCGCGGCUCAACCGUGGAGGGUCAUUGGAAACUGGAAAACUUGAGUGCAGAAGAGGAAAGUGGAAUUCCAUGUGUAGCGGUGAAAUGCGCAGAGAUAUGGAGGAACACCAGUGGCGAAGGCGACUUUCUGGUCUGUAACUGACGCUGAUGUGCGAAAGCGUGGGGAUCAAACAGGAUUAGAUACCCUGGUAGUCCACGCCGUAAACGAUGAGUGCUAAGUGUUAGGGGGUUUCCGCCCCUUAGUGCUGCAGCUAACGCAUUAAGCACUCCGCCUGGGGAGUACGACCGCAAGGUUGAAACUCAAAGGAAUUGACGGGGACCCGCACAAGCGGUGGAGCAUGUGGUUUAAUUCGAAGCAACGCGAAGAACCUUACCAAAUCUUGACAUCCUUUGACAACUCUAGAGAUAGAGCUUUCCCCUUCGGGGGACAAAGUGACAGGUGGUGCAUGGUUGUCGUCAGCUCGUGUCGUGAGAUGUUGGGUUAAGUCCCGCAACGAGCGCAACCCUUAAGCUUAGUUGCCAUCAUUAAGUUGGGCACUCUAAGUUGACUGCCGGUGACAAACCGGAGGAAGGUGGGGAUGACGUCAAAUCAUCAUGCCCCUUAUGAUUUGGGCUACACACGUGCUACAAUGGACAAUACAAAGGGCAGCGAAACCGCGAGGUCAAGCAAAUCCCAUAAAGUUGUUCUCAGUUCGGAUUGUAGUCUGCAACUCGACUACAUGAAGCUGGAAUCGCUAGUAAUCGUAGAUCAGCAUGCUACGGUGAAUACGUUCCCGGGUCU